AUGAUGGUUGUACGACGCGAGCAUCAUUCUAAAAGAAAUUAGUUACGUAAAAGAAAAAGAAGCUGUUCGUGAAAUACACAAUCAUGCCACUGAUGCAGAAAUUGCUGAAUGCAUUUCCACGUGGCUUGCUCGAGCUUCGGUUAGGAUUGAGAGAUCAAAGCAACAUACAAACAAAAACGAA
This 181-nucleotide long non-coding RNA is filed under the name Ooceraea biroi (clonal raider ant). RNAcentral's name for it is "uncharacterized LOC113563097". Lineage: Eukaryota; Metazoa; Arthropoda; Insecta; Hymenoptera; Formicidae. The record is from RNAcentral.